GUGUGUGAGAGAGAGAGAUUGAUUGAUUGAUUGAUUGAUUGAUUGUUUAUUGUUGCAAGUAAACAACAAAGGAGAAGGGAGGAACAUGCCAUCCCAACCCCCAGGCAGUACAGAGUGUGAUUAUACAACUAAGGAUACAUAUGUGGAAGGAGAGAGAGAGAGAGAGAGAGAGAGAGAGAGAGAGAGAGUAUAAGGACCACGUAUUCUGUGAUCAUUAUUUCUUAUACCUCCCAGUUAUAGUGUGCUUAAGUGGUAGAUUAGUGUCGAGAUGUAAGAAUUUUACCAGUCGUGACCAAGGGUGGUGUGUAACAGGGGGGGGGGAGCAGUAAUUAUGGACGGUAUUAUUUGGUUCAAGGUGAUGAGGGAACAGGUGGUUACGAUAGGCGCCGGUCAGAUCUUAACAUUAAUUAUUGAUACGCAACGACAAUUAAGAGGAACAGGUAGUAAUUAUAGGUGGCACCACUACGAUCCUUGUUAAGUCAUUAGUGAUUACAGAUUAUAAAGCGAACAGUAUAGUAGUCAGGUGUCCGUAUUACGUACGAUGCUUAACUCAUUAGUGAUUUGCGAUGAACAGGGAAACAGGUAGUAAUUAGGCGUCACUAUUACGAUGCUUAACUCAUUAGUGAUUUGCGAUGACCAGGGAAACUGGUAGUAAUUAGGCGUCACUAUUACGAUGCUUAACUCAUUAGUGAUUUGCGAUGACCAGGGAAACAGGUGGUAAUUAGGCGUCACUAUUACGAUGUUUAACUCAUUAGUGAUUUGCGAUGAGCAGGGAAACAGGUAGUAAUUAGGCGUCACUAUUACGAUGUUUAACUCAUUAGUGAUUUGCGAUGACCAGGGAAACAGGAAGUAAUUAGGCGUCACUAUUACGUACGAUGCUUAACUCAUUAGUGAUUUGCGAUGAGCAGGGAAACAGGUAGUAAUUAGGCGUCACUAUUACGAUGCUUAACUCAUUAGUGAUUUGCGAUGACCAGGGAAACAGGUAGUAAUCAGGCGUCACUAUUACGAUGUUUAACUCAUUAGUGAUUUGCGAAUACUAGAGGGACAGAUAAUUAUAGGCGUCCGUUUGGAAGUGCUGAUUAAUUUGUGACUUGCGCGUACCCGAGGGACAGACAGUUAUAGCUAUGGGCGUGCGUAUGCAGAUGCUUCUUAACUCAUCAGUGAUUUGCGAUUACUAGAGGAACAGAUAAUUAUGGGUAUGCGUAUGGAGAUGCUUCUUUACACAUGAGUGAUUUGCGAUUAAUAUAAUAGAACAGAUAAUUGUAGGCACGCGUGUGGAGAUGCUUGUUUACUCAUUACCUAUUGAUAAGAUUACAAGGGGACAGAUUGCAGCUAUAUAGACACCCGUGUGGAGAUGCUUGUUAACUCAUUAUACUACGAUAAGCGUUGGUGCAGUGAUUAUAUAUACGUGGUAAUUAAGAGUUGGCUCCGCUGUGUUAAGAUAUUUGUUAAUUAUUUCUUUAUCACUUUGAAACCCGUGGACAAAAUUAAGAACUGGCUCCGCUGUGUUAAGAUAUAUUUGUUAAUUCUUUCUUUAUCACUUUGAAACCCGUGGACAAAGUUAAGAACUGGCUCCGCUGUGUUAAGAUAUUUGUUAAUUCUUUCUUUAUCACUUUCAAACCCGUG
Molecule: long non-coding RNA, 1626 nt
Organism: Eriocheir sinensis (Chinese mitten crab)
Lineage: Eukaryota; Metazoa; Arthropoda; Malacostraca; Decapoda; Varunidae
Exons: 3
Source: RefSeq, a predicted model, not a curated record